RNAcentral lists this ribosomal RNA (393 nucleotides) under uncultured bacterium. RNAcentral's name for it is "bacterial SSU rRNA". It matches the Rfam family "Bacterial small subunit ribosomal RNA", at positions 505 to 898 of the family's 1533-position model. The record is from RNAcentral.
GUGUCAGCCGCCGCGGUAAUACGUAGGGUGCAAGCGUUAAUCGGAAUUACUGGGCGUAAAGCGUGCGUAGGCGGUUGCGCAAGACAGGUGUGAAAUCCCAGGGCUCAACCUUGGAAUUGCACUUGUGACUGUGCGGCUGGAGUGCGGCAGAGGGGGAUGGAAUUCCGCGUGUAGCAGUGAAAUGCGUAGAUAUGCGGAGGAACACCGAUGGCGAAGGCAGUCCCCUGGGCCUGCACUGACGCUCAUGCACGAAAGCGUGGGGAGCAAACAGGAUUAGAUACCCUGGUAGUCCACGCCCUAAACGAUGUCAACUGGUUGUUGAGAAGGUUCCUUCUCAGUAACGUAGCUAACGCGUGAAGUUGACCGCCUGGGGAGUACGGCCGCAAGGUUGAA